Molecule: ribosomal RNA, 1464 nt
Filed under: uncultured bacterium
Lineage: Bacteria
Description: bacterial SSU rRNA
Rfam family: Bacterial small subunit ribosomal RNA
Source: RNAcentral
GUUUGAUUCUGGCUCAGGAUAAACGCUGGCGGCGUGCCUAACACAUGCAAGUCGAACGCGGUUUGGGGGGCGACUCCUAGACCGAGUGGCGGACGGGUGAGUAACACGUGGGUUAUCUACCUUGAGGUGAGGAAUACCGGCGAGAAAUCGCUGACAAGACCGCAUAGGUUUGGCAAACCAAACAAAGCCGAGCAAUCGGCGCCACAAGAUGAGCCUGCGGCCGAUUAGUUUGGUUGGUGGGGUAACGGCCUACCAAGACGACGAUCGGUAGCUGGUCUGAGAGGACGAUCAGCCACACUGGGAUUGAGAACGGCCCAGACUCCUACGGGGGGCAGCAGUGAGGAAUUUUCAUCAAUGGGGGCAACCCUGAACGAGCAACGCCGCGUGCAGGAAGAAGGUUUUCGGAUCGUAAACUGCUUUUCCCAGGGAAGAGAGAGGACGGUACCUGGGGAAGAAGCCCCGGCUAACUACGUGCCAGCAGCCGCGGUAAUACGUAGGGGGCAAGCGUUGUCCGGAUUUAUUGGGCGUAAAGCGCACGCAGGCGGUCUUGUCAGUUUCCAGUGACAGGUGGUGGCUUAACUGCCACAGGCCUGGAAAGACGGCAAGACUUGAGGGCAAGAGAGGGACGCGGAAUUCCAGGUGGAGCGGUGAAAUGCGUAGAGAUCUGGAAGAACACCGAAGGCGAAGGCAGGCGUCCUGGUUUGUAUCUGACGCUCAAUUGCGAACAGCUAUUGGGAGCGAACGGGAUUAGAUACCCCGGUAGUCCUAGCCGUAAACGAUGACCACUAGACGUGGGAGGUAUCGACCCCUUCCGUGUCGCAGCUUACGCAAGAAGUGGUCCGCCUGGGGAGUACGGUCGCAAGAUUAAAACUCAAAGGAAUUGACGGGGACCCGCACAAGCAGCGGAGCGUGUGGUUUAAUUCGAUGCAACGCGAAGAACCUUACCAAGGCUUGACAUGGAUUUGCACCAGCCGUAACGGGCUGUCAGGGUUCGCCCUGCGGAUUCACAGGUGCUGCAUGGCUGUCGUCAGCUCGUGUCGUGAGAUGUUGGGUUAAGUCCCGCAACGAGCGCAACCCCUAUCGUUAGUUAAAUGGUCUAGCGAGACUGCCACGCUAAACGUGGAGGAAGGUGGGGAUGACGUCAAGUCAGCACGGCCCUUACGCCUUGGGCGACACACACGCUACAAUGGUCGGGACAAAGAGCCAGCCAACCCGCGAGGGGGAGCCAAUCUCAUCAAACCCGAUCUCAGUUCAGAUUGCAGGCUGCAACCCGCCUGCAUGAAGGAGGAGUUGCUAGUAACCGUGAGUCAGCACAUCACGGUGAAUACGUUCCCGGGUCUUGUACACACCGCCCGUCACACCACGAAAGUCGGCAACACCUGAAGCCGCCGAGCUGACCCGAAUACGGGGGGCAAGCGUCGAGGGUGGGGUUGGUGAUUGGGGUGAAGUCGUAACAAGGUAACC